UGGUUGUCGUCAGCUCGUGUCGUGAGAUGUUGGGUUAAGUCCCGCAACGAGCGCAACCCUUGUCUUUAGUUGCCAUCAUUAAGUUGGGCACUCUAGAGAGACUGCCAGGGAUAACCUGGAGGAAGGUGGGGAUGACGUCAAAUCAUCAUGCCCCUUAUGCUUAGGGCUACACACGUGCUACAAUGGGUAGUACAGAGGGUUGCCAAGCCGUAAGGUGGAGCUAAUCCCUUAAAGCUACUCUCAGUUCGGAUUGUAGGCUGAAACUCGCCUACAUGAAGCUGGAGUUACUAGUAAUCGCAGAUCAGAAUGCUGCGGUGAAUGCGUUCCCGGGUCUUGUAC
This 339-nucleotide ribosomal RNA is filed under the name Clostridioides difficile. RNAcentral describes it as "bacterial SSU rRNA". It matches the Rfam family "Bacterial small subunit ribosomal RNA", at positions 1046 to 1386 of the family's 1533-position model. Lineage: Bacteria; Bacillati; Bacillota; Clostridia; Peptostreptococcales; Peptostreptococcaceae. The record is from RNAcentral.